UCUCAUAUCCGCCGCUGGCAACACCACACGCCCUCCAAAAUUGCAGAUAAGUGGAGAUAGAAGAAGGGAUUUGCGGUACCUUCAAAUUGAAAAUUCAGUCUUGUUAAUUCAACAUUUAUUCGAAAUUGAAGCAGAAAGAGGAAGCAUUUGAACUUUGCUUAGUGAAUAUUAUUACUGAGGAGUGAGAAGAAGUGAUGGCCGAAGGUGCAGCACCAGCAAAGGCAGAUGAGCCAGCGCCGCACCCGCUGAAAGAUCAGCUCCCUAAUGUUUCUUACUGCAUUACUAGUCCUCCUCCAUGGCGUUAGAAGAACUGAAGAGAGGCAGAUGAACACUGAAAGCCUCAGCUGAGUUUCUGAGCAGGAAUACCUUGCCUAUGCUGUCUACAACAUCCAAAAAAUUACCAGGGUUAUGUACAAAGAGAAAUCCCAUACUCUAAUGAGGAGUUAGAAGAAACUCGAGAACAAUGGGCAAAGUACUUUAAGGACAAGUAUUUGAUGGAUGCCGCCAAAUGAGUUUGGGGUUGAUCUAGACGUAAUAUAUGUUGUAUAUUUUUGUUUUCUAGUAUAUAUUUAAUGGAUGUUAUGUACGUGCAUUGAAAUAUAUUAUUAUGAUGUUGAAUGCUAGCUGGUUGUAACAUAUAUGGAUGUUGGAGCAUAUAUGUAUGCUAUAUAUAUAUUUUAUACA
Long non-coding RNA from Spinacia oleracea (spinach), 684 nucleotides. RefSeq lists it as uncharacterized. NCBI's taxonomy places the organism in Eukaryota, Viridiplantae, Streptophyta, Magnoliopsida, Caryophyllales, Amaranthaceae. The transcript has 4 exons. The record is from RefSeq and is a predicted model, not a curated record.